Molecule: ribosomal RNA, 492 nt
Filed under: uncultured bacterium
Lineage: Bacteria
Description: partial 16S ribosomal RNA
Rfam family: Bacterial small subunit ribosomal RNA
Source: RNAcentral
AGUGAACGCUGGCGGUAGGCCUAACACAUGCAAGUCGAACGGCAGCACAGUAAGAGCUUGCUCUUACGGGUGGCGAGUGGCGGACGGGUGAGGAAUACAUCGGAAUCUACUUUUUCGUGGGGGAUAACGUAGGGAAACUUACGCUAAUACCGCAUACGACCUACGGGUGAAAGCAGGGGAUCUUCGGACCUUGCGCGAUUGAAUGAGCCGAUGUCGGAUUAGCUAGUUGGCGGGGGAAAGGCCCACCCAGGCGACGAUCCGUAGCUGGUCUGAGAGGAUGGUCGCCCGCACUGGAACUGAGACACGGUCCAGACUCCUACGGGAGGCAGCAGUGGGGAAUAUUGGACAAUGGGCGCAAGCCUGAUCCAGCCAUACCGCGUGGGUGAAGAAGGCCUUCGGGUUGUAAAGCCCUUUUGUUGGGAAAGAAAAGCAGCAGGUUAAUACCCCGCUGUUCUGACGGUACCCAAAGAAUAAGCACCGGCUAACUUCGUG